GCCCUGAUGGUGGAAUGGUAGACACGAGGGACUUAAAAUCCCUUGGCCUUUACGGCUGUGCGGGUUCGAGUCCCGCUUGGGGCA
This 84-nucleotide transfer RNA is filed under the name Bacteroidales bacterium. Its description in RNAcentral is "tRNA-Leu". It matches the Rfam family "tRNA". From Rfam's summary of the family: Transfer RNA (tRNA) molecules are approximately 80 nucleotides in length. Their secondary structure includes four short double-helical elements and three loops (D, anti-codon, and T loops). Lineage: Bacteria; Pseudomonadati; Bacteroidota; Bacteroidia; Bacteroidales. The record is from RNAcentral.